ACGCCCGUAGCUCAGAUGGCAGAGUAGUGGUAAGGUUCCCCACGGUCCCCGGAUUCAAGUCCCGGCGGUCGCU
This is a non-coding RNA of Phthorimaea operculella (potato tuberworm), 73 nucleotides long. NCBI's taxonomy places the organism in Eukaryota, Metazoa, Arthropoda, Insecta, Lepidoptera, Gelechiidae. The record is from the annotation of a GenBank genome assembly.